RNAcentral lists this ribosomal RNA (495 nucleotides) under uncultured bacterium. Its description in RNAcentral is "partial 16S ribosomal RNA". It matches the Rfam family "Bacterial small subunit ribosomal RNA", at positions 28 to 507 of the family's 1533-position model. The record is from RNAcentral.
GACGAACGCUGGCGGCGUGCCUAAUACAUGCAAGUAGAACGCUGAAGGAGGAGCUUGCUUCUCUGGAUGAGUUGCGAACGGGUGAGUAACGCGUAGGUAACCUGCCUGGUAGCGGGGGAUAACUAUUGGAAACGAUAGCUAAUACCGCAUAAUAGUAGAUGUUGCAUGACAUUUGCUUAAAAGGUGCAAUUGCAUCACUACCAGAUGGACCUGCGUUGUAUUAGCUAGUUGGUGAGGUAACGGCUCACCAAGGCGACGAUACAUAGCCGACCUGAGAGGGUGAUCGGCCACACUGGGACUGAGACACGGCCCAGGCUCCUACGGGAGGCAGCAGUAGGGAAUCUUCGGCAAUGGACGGAAGUCUGACCGAGCAACGCCGCGUGAGUGAAGAAGGUUUUCGGAUCGUAAAGCUCUGUUGUAAGAGAAGAACGAGUGUGAGAGUGGAAAGUUCACACUGUGACGGUAUCUUACCAGAAAGGGACGGCUAACUACGUG